Molecule: ribosomal RNA, 301 nt
Filed under: uncultured bacterium
Lineage: Bacteria
Description: partial 16S ribosomal RNA
Rfam family: Bacterial small subunit ribosomal RNA
Source: RNAcentral
CAGUAGCCGCGGUAACACGAAGGGUGCAAGCGUUACUCGGAAUUACUGGGCGUAAAGCGUGCGUAGGUGGUGGUUUAAGUCCGUUGUGAAAGCCCUGGGCUCAACCUGGGAAUUGCAGUGGAUACUGGGUCACUAGAGUGUGGUAGAGGAUAGUGGAAUUUCCGGUGUAGCAGUGAAAUGCGUAGAGAUCGGAAGGAACAUCUGUGGCGAAGGCGACUAUCUGGGCCAACACUGACACUGAGGCACGAAAGCGUGGGGAGCAAACAGGAUUAGAUACCCAGUAGUCCCUGUCUCUUAUACA